Molecule: long non-coding RNA, 1148 nt
Organism: Drosophila sulfurigaster albostrigata
Lineage: Eukaryota; Metazoa; Arthropoda; Insecta; Diptera; Drosophilidae
Exons: 3
Source: RefSeq, a predicted model, not a curated record
GCUUGUGACUUCUGGAAUUCACAGAAGCAAUGAUAAAGGUUCAAGCGAAGGUAAAUCGUGAAAAAUGAUUAAUAAAGCAGCUUAAAAUGGCAUUAACACUGCAAAUUUAUACCGAAGCUUUAGUCAAGGCGACUACUGAAUGUGCGGUGGAAAGUGUUAAGGACACUGAUAUUAUACAAUUUGUAUGCCAGGACGAGCACAGGCUGCACUUAAUAUGCGAUACAAGUGUGUGUGUGCGUGUGUUUGUGGAUUAGAGAGGACAUAAUGUCCUGCAAAUUGUGCACAUUUUUCAAUUUAAUGAGGUGCUUAUUUUAAAUUUCCACAUGCAUGCACAUCCAGGCAAUAGAGACAAGUCAAACGACCAGAAACUGAGCAUCGAAGGAGGCCAUGCAAGGGGUUGACUGACUCUGUCCAUGGCAUGGCUAUUAAAAUGCUAAAUCGUUGCUGGCCAGAGUUGCAGACGAUGGCCAUAAAUAGCUUCAUUUCUUGCCAGAUUACUCAUACGCCGCGUAGUGCACUACUAACAGAUCAUUAUCAUGCAGCAAGCAAAGACUGCAUCCUUGAGAGCUAUUGCUCUUAUUGCUUACCCGCUAAAUGCCAAACGAAUUAUUCCCAUAAGCAAAAGCAGGAACAUGAAGAAUGUGUUUUGAUAUCAAAUUUUGUGGAGAUUCUCAAGUUUAAAUUGCAAUUGAUGUGUGUUGUUGAAAGCUUCAAGCGUUGACUCGGCUUCGGCUCAAAUGUCAACUAGAGGAAACUUUUUGAUGGUGUUUUACUUAAAUCAAGAAAUGCAAUGUGAUGUGACUGCGACUGAAACUGUGACUAUGACGAUGGCUCAGAGCAUUGUCUGUGUCUUUUGCCUGCCAUUUUGUAUUGUGUCUUGACAAAAAGAGGAAACCAGAGUGCGAGUUGGAAGUCUGUGACGUUGAAGUGUUGCGAGUGCAAAAUGAGCUGAAAAGGUAAUUUAUAAAAGUAGCAGAGCAGCAAAGCAAAAGAAACACUGUGAAACGCCAUUACGACGAGUCUCGACGACUUCUCGCAGCAUGGCCCCAAUUCUCGACUUUUAUUUGGCCGCAAAAAUUCUAAAGUUGAAAGCAAAAAGAUUUCUGAAUGAAGAAAACUUUUCUACAAAUAUUUGUGAAAGUAUUUCG